Molecule: ribosomal RNA, 336 nt
Filed under: Acanthamoeba sp.
Lineage: Eukaryota; Discosea; Longamoebia; Acanthamoebidae
Description: SSU rRNA
Rfam family: Eukaryotic small subunit ribosomal RNA
Source: RNAcentral
UUUCUGCCACCGAAUACAUUAGCAUGGGAUAAUGGAAUAGGACCCUGUCCUCCUAUUUUCAGUUGGUUUUGGCAGCGCGGGGACUAGGGUAAUGAUUAAUAGGGAUAGUUGGGGGCAUUAAUAUUUAAUUGUCAGAGGUGAGAUUCUUGGAUUUAUGAAAGAUUAACUUCUGCGAAAGCACCGGCGAAGGAUGUUUUCAUUAAUCAAGAACGAAAGUUAGGGGACCGAAGACGAUCCGAUACCGCCGUACUCUUAACCAUAAACGAUGCCGACCAGCGGUUAGGAGACGUUGAAUACAAAACACCACCGUCGGAGCGUUCGGCCUUGGCUUCUCGG